RNAcentral lists this ribosomal RNA (253 nucleotides) under uncultured bacterium. Its description in RNAcentral is "partial 16S ribosomal RNA". It matches the Rfam family "Bacterial small subunit ribosomal RNA", at positions 524 to 776 of the family's 1533-position model. The record is from RNAcentral.
UACGUAGGGUGCAAGCGUUGUCCGGAAUUAUUGGGCGUAAAGAGCUCGUAGGCGGCUUGUCGCGUCGGAUGUGAAAGCCCGGGGCUUAACUCCGGGUCUGCAUUCGAUACGGGCAGGCUAGAGUUCGGUAGGGGAGAUCGGAAUUCCUGGUGUAGCGGUGAAAUGCGCAGAUAUCAGGAGGAACACCGGUGGCGAAGGCGGGUCUCUGGGCCGAUACUGACGCUGAGGAGCGAAAGCGUGGGGAGCGAACAGG